Molecule: ribosomal RNA, 253 nt
Filed under: uncultured bacterium
Lineage: Bacteria
Description: partial 16S ribosomal RNA
Rfam family: Bacterial small subunit ribosomal RNA
Source: RNAcentral
UACGGAGGGGGCUAGCGGUGUUCGGAAUUACUGGGCGUAAAGCGCGCGUAGGCGGACUUGAAAGUCAGAGGUGAAAUCCCAGGGCUCAACCCUGGAACUGCCUUUGAAACUUCUGGUCUUGAGGACGAGAGAGGUGAGUGGAAUUCCGAGUGUAGAGGUGAAAUUCGUAGAUAUUCGGAGGAACACCAGUGGCGAAGGCGGCUCACUGGCUCGUUGCUGACGCUGAGACGCGAAAGCGUGGGGAGCAAACAGG